UGGGGAAUAUUGCACAAUGGGGAAAGCCCUGAUGCAGCGACGCCGCGUGGAGGAAGAAGGUCUUCGGAUUGUAAACUCCUGUCCCAGGGGACGAUAAUGACGGUACCUGAGUAAGAAGCCCCGGCUAACUACGUGCCAGCAGCCGCGGUAAUACGUAGGGGGCAAGCGUUAUCCGGAUUUACUGGGUGUAAAGGGAGCGUAGACGGCGAUGCAAGCCAGAUGUGAAAGCCCGCGGCUCAACUGCGGGACUGCAUUUGAAACUGUAUGGCUGGAGUGCAGGAGAGGCAGGCGGAAUUCCUAGUGUAGCGGUGAAAUGCGUAGAUAUUAGGAGGAACACCAGUGGCGAAGGCGGCCUGCUGGACUGUAACUGACGUUGAGGCUCGAAAGCGUGGGGAGCAAACAGGAUUAGAUACCC
This 415-nucleotide ribosomal RNA is filed under the name uncultured bacterium. Its description in RNAcentral is "bacterial SSU rRNA". It matches the Rfam family "Bacterial small subunit ribosomal RNA", at positions 355 to 787 of the family's 1533-position model. The record is from RNAcentral.